CUCCUACGGGAGGCAGCAGUGAGGAAUAUUGGUCAAUGGCCGGAAGGCUGAACCAGCCAAGUCGCGUGAGGGACGACUGCCCUAUGGGUUGUAAACCUCUUUUAUAAGGGAAGAAUAAAUGCUACGUGUAGCAUGAUGACGGUACCUGAGGAAUAAGCCACGGCUAACUACGUGCCAGCAGCCGCGGUAAUACGUAGGUGGCAAGCGUUAUCCGGAUUUAUUGGGUGUAAAGGGCGUGUAGGCGGGAGCGCAAGUCAGAUGUGAAAACUCAGGGCUCAACCCUGAGCCUGCAUUUGAAACUGUGU
RNAcentral lists this ribosomal RNA (305 nucleotides) under uncultured bacterium. Its description in RNAcentral is "bacterial SSU rRNA". It matches the Rfam family "Bacterial small subunit ribosomal RNA", at positions 336 to 638 of the family's 1533-position model. The record is from RNAcentral.